RNAcentral lists this long non-coding RNA (842 nucleotides) under Apteryx rowi (Okarito brown kiwi). RNAcentral describes it as "lncRNA (ENSARWG00000015535.1)". The record is from RNAcentral. Lineage: Eukaryota; Metazoa; Chordata; Aves; Apterygiformes; Apterygidae.
UUGCAGCGUCUUGACGAGGAGCAGACAAUAAAAACGGCUCGGUGACUUUUUCUAACCUUUGUAACAUGUAUUUUACUCCCCAAGACCUCUGCCUCUCCGCUCCAGCGAAACGGGGGGAUUAUACACAUGCCACUCACGGGGAAAAUAAGGUUUCUUUUCUGAAGCGAGCUUUCACGCAAUAUUAAUGUAUAUUUUUAUUAAUGCACAUUUCUAAGCGCCGUCUCUCCCGUUUUUCCCGGUGUUCAUCCCGGCAAGCCGAGCGCCCGGUGCRGUGACACAGGUGCCAAGGCGCGUGGGCAGCGCGGAGCGGCGAGACCUAACGAGCCCUUCGUCAGCCGGAUCACUAGGGCGUAAACGCUCCUGGCAGCCUGCCCAAAGUGGGGCUCGAAUAGCUCGAAGCAUUAAAAUGACCCGUAUCCUAGUUAUGACCACUCCGGCGCUGCUCCGCUCCUGCGAGGGAUGCGGGAAUGAUCCCCAGUCGUGCUCGGGCUUUGCUCYGCUGGGAAAUGAGGAGGGCUGCGUUCGUUCCCUGCGGGAAUCCGGGUUGUGCCGAGCGGGAAGGAGCCAGGAUAAACUCCUCAACGCUAGCAGGCCUUGAAACCCAGCAAGCGCUCGAUAUAAAACUCUCACCCUUCUCAAGAACCAUCUUCCCAACACCCAAAUGCUUAUUGCACCGAUCUCCGGCCCUGUUCAUCCUGAGCGGCGGCUGCAAGCAGCUCUAGUGGGUUUAACACGAAUUCAGCUGCAGGAGGGUCASGGAGGAAAAGGCAGCGGUACGUGUGCGGCCAUGACUCGGACAGGAGACUGCGAGGGAAAGGGCUAGGGAUGUGGACGCUGAAAAU